This 101-nucleotide ribosomal RNA is filed under the name Stenotrophomonas maltophilia. The record is from RNAcentral. Lineage: Bacteria; Pseudomonadati; Pseudomonadota; Gammaproteobacteria; Lysobacterales; Lysobacteraceae. RNAcentral also lists the same sequence under 6 other names.
CGCUGUGGAACCACCCGAUCCCAUCCCGAACUCGGAAGUGAAACGCAGCUGCGCCGAUGGUAGUGUGGCUCAAGCCAUGCGAGAGUAGGUCAUCGCCAGGG